This 253-nucleotide ribosomal RNA is filed under the name uncultured bacterium. RNAcentral describes it as "partial 16S ribosomal RNA". It matches the Rfam family "Bacterial small subunit ribosomal RNA", at positions 524 to 776 of the family's 1533-position model. The record is from RNAcentral.
GACGGAGGGUGCUAGCGUUGUUCGGAAUGACUGGGCGUAAAGGGCGCGUAGGCGGCCGCUUGCGUCGGAUGUGAAAGCCCGGGGCUCAACCCCGGAACGGCAUCCGAUACGGGGCGGCUCGAGACCGAGAGAGGUGAGUGGAAUACCCAGUGUAGAGGUGAAAUUCGUAGAUAUUCGCAAGAACACCAGCGGCGAAGGCGGCUCACUGGCCCGGUACUGACGCUGAGGUGCGAAAGCGUGGGGAGCAAACAGG